CCGGUCGGCCUUGCGAAGCUUUGCUUCGGGGGUGGACUUCUGGAUCGCGUAGCAGCGUUUGCGUCGGUAUCUGGGCUUGUAGCUCAGUUGGUUAGAGCACACGCUUGAUAAGCGUGGGGUCGGAGGUUCAAGUCCUCCCAGGCCCACCAUGUUACAUGAUAAGGGGCCGUAGUUCAGCUGGGAGAGCACCUGCUUUGCAAGCAGGGGGUCGUCGGUUCGAUCCCGUCCGGCUCCACCAUCGUGUUUUGGUGUAGAGACGGAUAUUGGCAAUCAACGAAAGAAAGAAACAAGUUUGCGGACUUUUAUGAAAGUCUGCCUGUUCUGUAUGAAAUCGUGAAGAGAAGAUGUAAUCGGAUCAACUAUCCAGUUGAUGUCGCAAGAGCUUGCUCAAGCCUUGCAUUAUGAUUGAUGUGUUUAACCGCCAUCACCGAUUGUAUCUCGAGAAG
RNAcentral lists this transfer RNA (446 nucleotides) under Brucella intermedia. Its description in RNAcentral is "Ochrobactrum intermedium partial contains 16S rRNA, ITS1, tRNA-Ile, tRNA-Ala and 23S rRNA". The stretch from base 73 to 146 matches the Rfam family "tRNA". Lineage: Bacteria; Pseudomonadati; Pseudomonadota; Alphaproteobacteria; Hyphomicrobiales; Brucellaceae. The record is from RNAcentral.